Molecule: long non-coding RNA, 693 nt
Filed under: Elaeis guineensis (African oil palm)
Lineage: Eukaryota; Viridiplantae; Streptophyta; Magnoliopsida; Arecales; Arecaceae
Description: long non-coding RNA (EGUI_LNC028569)
Source: RNAcentral
CAUCAACCGAGCGGUUGCUGCUUUAACCGCAAGUUGGGCUCUAGGUCCAGGCAGUCUCUUAGGAGGUUCAGGGUUGGCCAGGGGAGGUAAUGACUCAGAUGGAACAGUGUCAUCCCUCAGAUUUACUGGGUGAACAACCUCAGAAGAUAAAUGAUCCGAGGCCAAGAGCAGCCGUGGAGCAGGGCCAUCAGAUCGAUCCACCAAACCAGAAGAAGAGGGUUCGCAAGAAGUAGGCAAAUCAACCACCGGGUGGUAACUGAGGUUAGGAUGACUCACAGGCUCAAUUUGAGAAGGCGAGGUUGAGCCCUUGAGGCCCAGAGGCACGUGAUCCACCUCACCUAGCACCCACCACCUCUGUGUCUUGCCACAGUGGAUCCGAAGAAGACAUCAUAGGCCUAAUACAUUUCCCAACGAGUAUUGCAUCACAUUGGGGAUCCCCUCGACACACCAAAUCCGGAGAAGAUGGGAUAUUAACGAGGUUGGGGCGAGUGGGAGGCGGAUUCAAAAUUAAAAGAUAGAGAGAAAGCUGGUCUCUUGGAAAAUCAAGACUCCCUGAGGCUAUUUGUUUGCCACAUACCUUGCUUCUUCAAGAAGAAAGAGGGCAAUCAGCACAUUGCUCUGUAAGGGAGUUGUCAGUGUCCAAUCGAUCAGAAGGGUUGCUCAGCAAUUCAUCCGAGUAGACUCGGCUAGGAC